This 923-nucleotide ribosomal RNA is filed under the name uncultured bacterium. Its description in RNAcentral is "bacterial SSU rRNA". It matches the Rfam family "Bacterial small subunit ribosomal RNA", at positions 8 to 923 of the family's 1533-position model. The record is from RNAcentral.
AGAGUUUGAUCCUGGCUCAGGAUGAACGCUAGCUACAGGCUUAACACAUGCAAGUCGAGGGGCAGCGUGAUUGUAGCUUGCUUCAUUUGACGGCGACCGGCGCACGGGUGAGUAACGCGUAUCCAACCUUCCGUUUACUCAGGGAUAGCCUUUCGAAAGAAAGAUUAAUACCUGAUGGUAUGAUGAGAUUGCAUGAUAGCAUCAUUAAAGAUUUAUUGGUGUACGAUGGGGAUGCGUUCCAUUAGGUAGUAGGCGGGGUAACGGCCCACCUAGCCUACGAUGGAUAGGGGUUCUGAGAGGAAGGUCCCCCACAUUGGAACUGAGACACGGUCCAAACUCCUACGGGAGGCAGCAGUGAGGAAUAUUGGUCAAUGGGCGAGAGCCUGAACCAGCCAAGUAGCGUGAAGGAUGAAGGUCCUACGGAUUGUAAACUUCUUUUAUACGGGAAUAAAGUAUCCUACGUGUAGGAUUUUGUAUGUACCGUAUGAAUAAGCAUCGGCUAACUCCGUGCCAGCAGCCGCGGUAAUACGGAGGAUGCGAGCGUUAUCCGGAUUUAUUGGGUUUAAAGGGAGCGCAGACGGGAGAUUAAGUCAGUUGUGAAAGUUUGCGGCUCAACCGUAAAAUUGCAGUUGAUACUGGUUUUCUUGAGUGCAGUUGAGGCAGGCGGAAUUCGUGGUGUAGCGGUGAAAUGCUUAGAUAUCACGAAGAACUCCGAUUGCGAAGGCAGCCUGCUAAGCUGCAACUGACAUUCAGGCUCGAAAGUGUGGGUAUCAAGCAGGAUUAGAUACCCUGGUAGUCCACACGGUAAACGAUGAAUACUCGCUGUUGGCGAUAUACGGCAAGCGGCCAAGCGAAAGCGUUAAGUAUCCCACCUGGGGAGUACGCCGGCAACGGUGAAACUCAAAUGAAUUGACGGAAGGGCG